UACGGGGGGUGCGAGCGUUGUCCGGAAUCACUGGGCGUAAAGGGCGCGUAGGUGGUUUGAUAAGGGUGUGGUGAAAGUCCGGAGCUCAACUCCGGAUCUGCCGUGCCGACUGUCAAACUCGAGGGCUGUAGAGGCAGACGGAAUUCCGGGUGUAGCGGUGGAAUGCGUAGAGAUCCGGAGGAAGACCGGUGGCGAAGGCGGUCUGCUGGGCAGUUUCUGACACUGAGGCGCGACAGCGUGGGGAGCGAACAGG
RNAcentral lists this ribosomal RNA (253 nucleotides) under uncultured bacterium. Its description in RNAcentral is "partial 16S ribosomal RNA". It matches the Rfam family "Bacterial small subunit ribosomal RNA", at positions 524 to 776 of the family's 1533-position model. The record is from RNAcentral.